AGCGAACGCUGGCGGCAGGCCUAACACAUGCAAGUCGAACGAACCUUUCGGGGUUAGUGGCGGACGGGUGAGUAACACGUGGGAACGUGCCUUUAGGUUCGGAAUAACUCAGGGAAACUUGUGCUAAUACCGAAUGUGCCCUUCGGGGGAAAGAUUUAUCGCCCUUAGAGCGGCCCGCGUCUGAUUAGCUAGUUGGUUGAGGUAAUGGCUCACCAAGGCGACGAUCAGUAGCUGGUCUGAGAGGAUGAUCAGCCACAUUGGGACUGAGACACGGCCCAAACUCCUACGGGAGGCAGCAGUGGGGAAUCUUGCGCAAUGGGCGAAAGCCUGACGCAGCCAUGCCGCGUGAAUGAUGAAGGUCUUAGGAUUGUAAAAUUCUUUCACCGGGGACGAUAAUGACGGUACCCGGAGAAGAAGCCCCGGCUAACUUCGUG
RNAcentral lists this ribosomal RNA (434 nucleotides) under uncultured bacterium. RNAcentral's name for it is "partial 16S ribosomal RNA". It matches the Rfam family "Bacterial small subunit ribosomal RNA", at positions 29 to 507 of the family's 1533-position model. The record is from RNAcentral.